This 354-nucleotide ribosomal RNA is filed under the name uncultured Anaerolineaceae bacterium. RNAcentral's name for it is "bacterial SSU rRNA". It matches the Rfam family "Bacterial small subunit ribosomal RNA", at positions 1014 to 1382 of the family's 1533-position model. Lineage: Bacteria; Bacillati; Chloroflexota; Anaerolineae; Anaerolineales; Anaerolineaceae. The record is from RNAcentral.
GACCCUUCGGGGAGCCUAUUACAGGUGUUGCAUGGCUGUCGUCAGCUCGUGUCGUGAGAUGUUCGGUUAAGUCCGCUAACGAGCGCAACCCUCGUCGUAUGUUAUAUGUGUCAUACGAGACUGCCGGUAAAAAGCCGGAGGAAGGUGGGGAUGAUGUCAAGUCAGCAUGACCUUUAUAUCCAGGGCUACACACACGCUACAAUGGUCUGUACAAUGGGUAGCCAAGCCGCGAGGCGGAGCCAAUCCCGAAAGCAGGCCUCAGUUCAGAUUGCAGUCUGCAACUCGACUGCAUGAAGCCGGAGUUGCUAGUAACCGCAGGUCAGCAAUACUGCGGUGAAUACGUUCCCGGGUCUU